RNAcentral lists this long non-coding RNA (1003 nucleotides) under Sorghum bicolor (sorghum). RNAcentral describes it as "long non-coding RNA (SBIC_LNC006065)". Lineage: Eukaryota; Viridiplantae; Streptophyta; Magnoliopsida; Poales; Poaceae. The record is from RNAcentral.
CUGGCUUGGAUAGGUUCGGCAAAUUUAGACUGCAGGAAACCAUAACAUUAGAUGUUUCAGCAAUGUUUGCCUCCUUUGUCUUUAGGUUUUGCAUUAUUAUGCAUGGAACUCCUCUCACGAUGACCUUAUUAAUUCAUUAUAACGCAAGUUGCAUGUUUCUAGAUGCUUCAUAUUGUUGUUUAACCCUAUUAUCUAGACAUCGAGACACAUUUACUUUGUAUAAAUUAUAUGUGUAUUCUUUUCAUGCGUACUGUAUAAGCAGUUGUCGUCAUGGCAGUUGACCAUCUGGUGGGUCCCGUGUUGUGUAGGAAAAAUACAUAUUUUUUAUUUUUUUUCUUCAGGGUCUUUCUUUUGGGGCACUGCCGCUGCGCCUGCGAUUGCGUUGCUUCGCUUACCAAGCAAUGCUGGCCACAACUUUUUGCAACUUGGCCCUUAUUUUGGGAUGUACACACAUGAUUUGUUAGGUCAUAGUUUCCAUCUGAAAGGCACUGAAAACAAUAUAUAAUCUUCGAAUGGAUAUUAUUUAUACAAUUUAUUUUUACAAAGCUUAUUACUUGUCAAAGGGAGAGGACCUGCAAAGCUAGAUUUGGAUUCGCAGUACCUUUUUUAUUAUUUUUUAGGUCUUGUCUUUGCUAUGUGUGCACAUAUAUGAGGAUAGUCAACACAUUUGAAAAAUCAGUAGGUGACCACACCAGAAGGGCACACAAUAUUAGUAGUGGCAUUAUUCCCCUAUAAUUACGAAAGCAAUGAUACCAUGCAAUGGAAACUCUUUUUAUUCUUAUGAAAAAAGAUCUAAAUAAAGAUUAAGUUAUGCUAUGAUAUGUCUAUAACAAGUUUGUCCAAUAUUAACAUAUGUAGGUGCUUCCACUCAAUUGAAAAUUAAGUAUAUGUUGUUGUAGAAUUCAUGUCAGUUAAGCCUUUUUAACUUUGGUUAAUAAUAUAUAAAGAACUGCAUAAUUUGCAGUAUAUGAUAGAUGUUACUAGUUUCACCAUGAAUAGUAGU